UUCCGAGGAGCGCUGCAACAGGGUAUCCCACCCUGCCAGGCUCGGUCGGGGUUUGCGAAUCUUCCAACGGCGCUCACUCA
This 80-nucleotide non-coding RNA is filed under the name uncultured Thiohalocapsa sp. RNAcentral's name for it is "S-adenosyl-L-homocysteine riboswitch". It matches the Rfam family "SAH (S-adenosyl-L-homocysteine) riboswitch aptamer". The record is from RNAcentral. Lineage: Bacteria; Pseudomonadati; Pseudomonadota; Gammaproteobacteria; Chromatiales; Chromatiaceae.